ACCCGCUGAACUUAAGCAUAUCAAUAAGGGGAGGAAAAGAAAACCAACAGGGAUUGCCUCAGUAACGGCGAGUGAAGCGGCAAAAGCUCAAAUUUGAAAUCUAGCGUCUUUGACGUUCGAGUUGUAAUUUGUAGAGGUAGCUUUGGGUGUACAGCCAGGUCUAUGUUCCUUGGAACAGGACGUCAUGGAGGGUGAGAAUCCCGUAAAUGGCUUGGCCAGUGCCUAUGUAUAGCGCCUUCGACGAGUCGAGUUGUUUGGGAAUGCAGCUCUAAGCGGGUGGUAAAUUCCAUCUAAAGCUAAAUACUGGCGAGAGACCGAUAGCGCACAAGUAGAGUGAUCGAAAGGUGAAAAGCACUCCGGAAGGAGAGUUAAACAGCACGUGAAAUUGUUGAAAGGGAAGCGCUUGAGACCAGACUCAGGUAAAGUUGAUCAACCUCCAUUCUUGGUGGUGCACUCUUCUUUGCCCGGGCCAGCAACAGUUUUGGCGGUGGUAUAGAGGUUUAGGGAAUGUGGCUCUCUUCGGGGAGUGUUAUAGCCCUAUUCGUAAUGCUGCCUGUCGAGACUGAGGACCGCGCUUCGGCUAGGUUGUUGGCGUAAUGGUCUU
This 604-nucleotide ribosomal RNA is filed under the name uncultured fungus. Its description in RNAcentral is "eukaryotic LSU rRNA". It matches the Rfam family "Eukaryotic large subunit ribosomal RNA", at positions 23 to 641 of the family's 3401-position model. Lineage: Eukaryota; Fungi. The record is from RNAcentral.